GUAGGGAAUCUUCCACAAUGGACGAAAGUCUGAUGGAGCAACGCCGCGUGAGUGAAGAAGGUCUUCGGAUCGUAAAACUCUGUUGUUAGAGAAGAACGUGCAUGAUAGUAACUGAUCAUGUAAUGACGGUAUCUAACCAGAAAGCCACGGCUAACUACGUGCCAGCAGCCGCGGUAAUACGUAGGUGGCAAGCGUUGUCCGGAUUUAUUGGGCGUAAAGGGAACGCAGGCGGUUUUUUAAGUCUGAUGUGAAAGCCUUCGGCUUAACCGAAGAAUAGCAUUGGAAACUGGAAGACUUGAGUGCAGAAGAGGAGGGUGGAAUUCCAUGUGUAGCGGUGAAAUGCGUAGAUAUUCGGAGGAACACCAGUGGCGAAGGCGGCUCACUGGCUCGAUACUGACGCUGAGGUGCGAAAGCGUGGGGAGCAAACAGGAUUAGAUACCCCUGUAGUCC
This 450-nucleotide ribosomal RNA is filed under the name uncultured bacterium. RNAcentral's name for it is "partial 16S ribosomal RNA". It matches the Rfam family "Bacterial small subunit ribosomal RNA", at positions 354 to 796 of the family's 1533-position model. The record is from RNAcentral.